Molecule: ribosomal RNA, 450 nt
Filed under: uncultured bacterium
Lineage: Bacteria
Description: partial 16S ribosomal RNA
Rfam family: Bacterial small subunit ribosomal RNA
Source: RNAcentral
GUAGGGAAUCUUCCACAAUGGACGAAAGUCUGAUGGAGCAACGCCGCGUGAGUGAAGAAGGGUUUCGGCUCGUAAAACUCUGUUGUUAAAGAAGAACAUAUCUGAGAGUAACUGUUCAGGUAUUGACGGUAUUUAACCAGAAAGCCACGGCUAACUACGUGCCAGCAGCCGCGGUAAUACGUAGGUGGCAAGCGUUGUCCGGAUUUAUUGGGCGUAAAGCGAGCGCAGGCGGUUUUUUAAGUCUGAUGUGAAAGCCUUCGGCUCAACCGAAGAAGUGCAUCGGAAACUGGGAAACUUGAGUGCAGAAGAGGACAGUGGAACUCCAUGUGUAGCGGUGAAAUGCGUAGAUAUAUGGAAGAACACCAGUGGCGAAGGCGGCUGUCUGGUCUGUAACUGACGCUGAGGCUCGAAAGUAUGGGUAGCAAACAGGAUUAGAAACCCCGGUAGUCC